RNAcentral lists this ribosomal RNA (1490 nucleotides) under metagenome. RNAcentral describes it as "bacterial LSU rRNA". It matches the Rfam family "Bacterial large subunit ribosomal RNA", at positions 1458 to 2925 of the family's 2925-position model. The record is from RNAcentral.
AAUGCGAUGAGAGGACGGAGAAGGUUAAGUCAGCCUGGCGUUGGUUGUCCAGGUGGAAGACAGUAGGCAUGCAUCUUAGGCAAAUCCGGGGUGCUCUAUGCUGAGAGUCGAUAGCAAGCUGUACUUGUACAGUGAAGUGGCUGAUACCAUGCUUCCAGGAAAAGUCUCUAAGCUUCAGUUACACAGGAAUCGUACCCGAAACCGACACAGGUGGUCAGGUCGAGUAGACCAAAGCGCUUGAGAGAACUCUGCUGAAGGAACUAGGCAAAAUGGUACCGUAACUUCGGGAGAAGGUACGCUGCUGACGGUGAUGGGACUUGCUCCCUGAGCGGUUGGCAGCCGCAGAAACCAGGCCGCUGCAACUGUUUAUUAAAAACAUAGCACUCUGCAAACACGAAAGUGGACGUAUAGGGUGUGAUGCCUGCCCGGUGCUGGAAGGUUAAUUGAUGGGGUUAGCGUAAGCGAAGCUCUUGAUCGAAGCCCCAGUAAACGGCGGCCGUAACAAUAACGGUCCUAAGGUAGCGAAAUUCCUUGUCGGGUAAGUUCCGACCUGCACGAAUGGCAUAAUGAUGGCGGCGCUGUCUCCAGCAGAGGCUCAGUGAAAUCGAAAUCGCUGUGAAGAUGCAGUGUACCCGCGGCUAGACGGAAAGACCCCGUGAACCUUUACUGCAGCUUGACAUUGAACUUUGACCUUACUUGUGUAGGAUAGGUGGGAGGCUUUGAAGUUGGAACGCUAGUUCCAAUGGAGCCGUCCUUGAAAUACCACCCUGGUAAUGUUGAGGUUCUAACUCUGCCCCGUAAUCCGGGGCGAGGACCAUGUCUGGUGGGUAGUUUGACUGGGGCGGUCUCCUCCUAAAGAGUAACGGAGGAGUACGAAGGUGCGCUCAGCGUGGUCGGAAAUCACGCGUAGAGUAUAAAGGCAAAAGCGCGCUUAACUGCGAGACCCACAAGUCGAGCAGGUACGAAAGUAGGUCUUAGUGAUCCGGUGGUUCUGUAUGGAAGGGCCAUCGCUCAACGGAUAAAAGGUACUCUGGGGAUAACAGGCUGAUACCGCCCAAGAGUUCAUAUCGACGGCGGUGUUUGGCACCUCGAUGUCGGCUCAUCACAUCCUGGGGCUGAAGCAGGUCCCAAGGGUAUGGCUGUUCGCCAUUUAAAGAGGUACGCGAGCUGGGUUUAGAACGUCGUGAGACAGUUCGGUCCCUAUCUACCGUGGGCGCUGGAAAUUUGAGAGGAUCUGCUCCUAGUACGAGAGGACCAGAGUGGACGAACCUCUGGUGUACCGGUUGUCACGCCAGUGGCAUCGCCGGGUAGCUAUGUUCGGAAGGGAUAACCGCUGAAAGCAUCUAAGCGGGAAGCCUACCUCAAGAUAAGAUUUCCCCAGGACUUUAUGUCCUCUAAAGAGCCGUUCGAGACCAGGACGUUGAUAGGUUGGGUGUGGAAGCACGGUGACGUGUGAAGCUGACCAAUACUAAUUGCUCGUGAGGCUUGAC